RNAcentral lists this ribosomal RNA (468 nucleotides) under uncultured bacterium. RNAcentral's name for it is "partial 16S ribosomal RNA". It matches the Rfam family "Bacterial small subunit ribosomal RNA", at positions 28 to 507 of the family's 1533-position model. The record is from RNAcentral.
GACGAACGCUGGCGGCGUGCUUAACACAUGCCAGUCGAACGGUGAUGCUCCAGCUUGCUGGAGUGGAUCAGUGGCGAACGGGUGAGUAACACGUGAGCAACCUGCCCCAGACUCUGGAAUAAGCGCUGGAAACGGCGUCUAAUACUGGAUACGAAACUGGCCCGCAUGGGCAUGGUUUGGAAAGUUUUUCGGUUUGGGAUGGGCUCGCGGCCUAUCAGCUUGUUGGUGAGGUAAUGGCUCACCAAGGCGACGACGGGUAGCCGGCCUGAGAGGGCGACCGGCCACACUGGGACUGAGACACGGCCCAGACUCCUACGGGAGGCAGCAGUGGGGAAUAUUGCACAAUGGGCGAAAGCCUGAUGCAGCGACGCCGCGUGAGGGAUGACGGCCUUCGGGUUGUAAACCUCUUUCAGCAGGGAAGAAGCGAAAGUGACGGUACCUGCAGAAGAAGCACCGGCUAACUACGUG